AAUACAUGCAAGUCGUGGGGCAGCAUGAGUAGCAAUACUUGAUGGCGGACCGGGCAAACGGGUGAGGAACACGUACACAACCUUCCUUCGAAGCGGGGAAUAGCCCAGAGAAAUUUGGAUUAAUACCCAUAAUAUAUUUGAUAAGGCAUCUUAUUAAUAUUAAAGCUUCGGCACUUGAUGAUGGGUGUGCGGCUGAUUAGAUAGUUGGCGGGUAACGGCCCACCAAGUCUACGAUCAGUAGCUGAUGUGAGAGCAUGAUCAGCCACACGGGCACUGAGACACGGGCCCGACUCCUACGGGAGGCAGCAGUAAGGAAUAUUGGACAAUGGACGAAAGUCUGAUCCAGCCAUGCCGCGUGAAGGAUUAAGGUCCUCUGGAUUGUAAACUUCUUUUAUAUGGGACGAAAAAAGGGCAUUCUUGUUCACUUGACGGUACCAUAUGAAUAAGCACCGGCUAACUCCGUG
This 464-nucleotide ribosomal RNA is filed under the name uncultured bacterium. RNAcentral's name for it is "bacterial SSU rRNA". It matches the Rfam family "Bacterial small subunit ribosomal RNA", at positions 50 to 507 of the family's 1533-position model. The record is from RNAcentral.